CGAGCGAAACGGGAAAAGCCCAAACCAACAAGCUUGCUUGUUGGGGUUGUAGGACUCCGAUAUGGUAGUCUAUUCAGAUAGUCGAAAUACUUGGAAAAGUAUGUCAAAGAGGGUAAAAACCCCGUAGGCGAAAUUUGGAUAACACCUAGGAGGAUCCUGAGUACGGCGGAACACGAGGAAUUCCGUCGGAAUCCGGGAGGACCAUCUCCCAAGGCUAAAUACUCCCUAGUGACCGAUAGUGAACCAGUACCGUGA
Molecule: ribosomal RNA, 255 nt
Filed under: Enterococcus casseliflavus
Lineage: Bacteria; Bacillati; Bacillota; Bacilli; Lactobacillales; Enterococcaceae
Description: partial 23S ribosomal RNA
Rfam family: Bacterial large subunit ribosomal RNA
Source: RNAcentral